UUGGAGGGCAAGUCUGGUGCCAGCAGCCGCGGUAAUUCCAGCUCCAAUAGCGUAUAUUAAAGUUGUUGCAGUUAAAAAGCUCGUAGUUGAAUUUCGGGAUCAGUAUGUUGGUCGUGCUUCGGUACGUACUGUCAUUACUGGUUUCUCCCUUCUGAAGAACCUUGAUGUCAUUAAUUUGGUGUCUUGGGGAAUCAGGACUGUUACUUUGAAAAAAUUAGAGUGUUUAAAGCAGGCAUACGCUUGAAUACAUUAGCAUGGAAUAAUGAAAUAGGACGUUUGAUUCUAUUUUGUUGGUUUCUAGGAUCGACGUAAUGAUUAAUAGGGAUAGUUGGGGGCAUUAAUAUUCAAUUGUCAGAGGUGAAAUUCUUGGAUUUAUUGAAGACUAACUACUGCGAAAGCAUUUGCCAAGGAUGUUUUCAUUAAUCAAGAACGAAAGUUAGGGGAUCGAAGACGAUCAGAUACCGUCGUAGUCUUAACCAUAAACUAUGCCGACUAGGGAUCGGAUGAUGUUAUUUUUAAUGACUCAUUCGGCGCCUUACGGGAAAC
This 546-nucleotide ribosomal RNA is filed under the name uncultured Glomus. Its description in RNAcentral is "SSU rRNA". It matches the Rfam family "Eukaryotic small subunit ribosomal RNA", at positions 548 to 1098 of the family's 1831-position model. The record is from RNAcentral. Lineage: Eukaryota; Fungi; Glomeromycota; Glomeromycetes; Glomerales; Glomeraceae.